AUUGAACGCUGGCGGCAUGCUUUACACAUGCAAGUCGAACGGUAACAGGCCUUCGGGUGCUGACGAGUGGCGAACGGGUGAGUAAUGCAUCGGAACGUGCCCAGAGGUGGGGGAUAACGCAGCGGAAGCUGUGCUAAUACCGCAUGUGAUCUGAGGAUGAAAGCGGGGGACCAGGCAGCAAUGUUUGGCCUCGCGCCUUUGGAGCGGCCGAUGUCAGAUUAGGUAGUUGGUGGGGUAAAGGCCUACCAAGCCGACGAUCUGUAGCUGGUCUGAGAGGACGACCAGCCACACUGGGACUGAGACACGGCCCAGACUCCUACGGGAGGCAGCAGUGGGGAAUUUUGGACAAUGGGCGCAAGCCUGAUCCAGCAAUGCCGCGUGCGGGAAGAAGGCCUUCGGGUUGUAAACCGCUUUUGUACGGAACGAAAAGGCUCUGGCUAAUACCUGGGGCUGAUGACGGUACCGUAAGAAUAAGCACCGGCUAACUACGUG
Molecule: ribosomal RNA, 492 nt
Filed under: uncultured bacterium
Lineage: Bacteria
Description: partial 16S ribosomal RNA
Rfam family: Bacterial small subunit ribosomal RNA
Source: RNAcentral